Myzus persicae (green peach aphid) is the source of this 916-nucleotide long non-coding RNA. RefSeq lists it as uncharacterized. The record is from RefSeq and is a predicted model, not a curated record. NCBI's taxonomy places the organism in Eukaryota, Metazoa, Arthropoda, Insecta, Hemiptera, Aphididae. The transcript is spliced from 3 exons.
UAAAUCUUUGAGGGGACGAUUGCCUAUGGGAUAUUUGGGUGGGGAGGAGGUUAUAAGCAAAAUUGUUCUCUAAUUCCUUCAAAAAGGUAAGUUGUAUCCUAUAGUCCAGGGGUGGUCGGCGUUAAAUAAGUGGCGAGUAAUAAUAUAGUAAACAAUUUAAUAAGAAAUAAUAUGAAAAGCAGGAAAAGAAAUAAAGGUGUAAGUUGAUAAAAAAGUUAUAGAUACCUUGUGAGAAUAUAUUAAUCAAUGAAUGAUUUGGCAUAAACCAAGAAUAUAUAACUAUCUAAUAAUGUCAAUUAAAAAUUGUAAUGACACCAUCUUAAUUGAUAAUUUUUAGGAAGAAGUAGCAGAAUAUCUAAAGUCAACAAAAAUAUGUCUUACAAAAAUCACCUAUGAGAUUGAAUUAGCUCCAGUAGACGCAAGUUCUCCAAAUACGGUGAAUACAUAUGCAAAAGUGUGUCAAGGAAAAUUGAAUAUUUCAAAUUCGUGUGUACAAAAUACAAUAUAUUUUUUUGACAAGGGAACGUUUGCACUUAAUCAAGACAGUGGAGUAGUUGUCCGGUAUCUCGAUCUUGAUGACAUUAACAACGACUGUAGUUGUAGUUCAGCGUUUAUGGGAUUUCAAAACAUAGUUGCAGGCCUCCGCAAGGGUUCACAAACACCGUGUACGAAAUUUGAUAUUCAAUCAGACCAAUAUUUAUAUAAAUAACCAGCUUUUUCAUUAACUGUUAAAUAAAUAUACAAUUUAUACCCAAUUUCAAAUCAAUUCAGGCAUACAAAAAUUCACAACCUUUUUUUUUGUCAAAGACACAGAGUGGUAUGAUGUAUUUUGUUGGGCAGCAAAAAUUUCAAUUUUAAUCUUGUUCUAAUAAACAGCUGUAAUAAGUAUUUAUAUUUAGCUAUUAUAAAUUACAUU